UGGGGAAUAUUGCACAAUGGGCGAAAGCCUGAUGCAGCGACGCCGCGUGAAGGAAGAAGGUCUUCGGAUUGUAAACUUCUAUCAGUAGGGAAGAAAUAAAUGACGGUACCUAACUAAGAAGCCCCGGCUAACUACGUGCCAGCAGCCGCGGUAAUACGUAGGGGGCAAGCGUUAUCCGGAUUUACUGGGUGUAAAGGGUGCGUAGGUGGUAAUAUAAGUUUGAUGUGAAACCUCAGGGCUUAACCUUGAGCAUGCAUCAAAAACUAUAUAACUAGAGUGCAGGAGAGGAAAGUGGAAUUCCUAGUGUAGCGGUGAAAUGCGUAGAUAUUAGGAGGAACACCAGUAGCGAAGGCGGCUUUCUGGACUGUAACUGACACUGAGGCACGAAAGCGUGGGGAGCAAACAGG
RNAcentral lists this ribosomal RNA (407 nucleotides) under uncultured bacterium. RNAcentral describes it as "bacterial SSU rRNA". It matches the Rfam family "Bacterial small subunit ribosomal RNA", at positions 355 to 776 of the family's 1533-position model. The record is from RNAcentral.